GAUGAAGAACGCAGCGAGGUGCGAAAUGUGGCGCGAUACGCACAAUCUGUGAGACGUCUAAUCUUUGAACGCAGCAUGCGUCUGUCCGUACUGGCCAGACGUGUCUGUUUGGGUGUUUUGGUUUUAAACGGUUGCAGGGAAUUCGGAUGUGGGAUUGGGAUGUGGGAUUUGGGAUUUUGUCUGCAAAUCAAAGCACAGUUUGAUCUGAUCUGCAUGCAUUUCUCCAUUCACAACGCUUCCGCAUAUCUUGUCGCAAAACGACGUGUGUGCAGUGCCAGAGGUACUGUCAAUCGCAUGGCCAGCAGUGCAGUGUAGAUUUCACAUGCGUGGCUCGACUCAGACAUAACCCCAAAUCAGAUAGGACUACCCGCUGAACUUAAGCAUAUCAAUAAGCGGAGGA
Molecule: unclassified non-coding RNA, 400 nt
Filed under: soil metagenome
Description: partial contains internal transcribed spacer 2 and large subunit ribosomal RNA
Rfam family: 5.8S ribosomal RNA (bases 1-118)
Source: RNAcentral